Molecule: long non-coding RNA, 1346 nt
Filed under: Capra hircus (goat)
Lineage: Eukaryota; Metazoa; Chordata; Mammalia; Artiodactyla; Bovidae
Description: lncRNA (ENSCHIG00010030666.1)
Source: RNAcentral
AUAAAGACUGACUGGUCUUUUACAGUGGGUGCUGUCUGUAUCCCUGCGGGAGAGCGUUCCCUGAGGGCCAGGAAGCUCUCCCCCUGUGCUUUCCAGCUGGGAGCCUUAGAGUUGCAGCGCCUACCUUUUGUCUGCAGUCCCCUUCGAGGGAAUCUGUACAGAUGGUAUGAGGCGCACGUUGGGCAGCGCACGUUGGGCAGUGCACGUUGGGCAGCGCACGUUGGCCCUCUGCCCGAGCGGGCUCCGUCUGGCGCCUCUGCUGCGGAGGCGGUCGGUCCUCUGCCCGAGUGGCCCUGCCUCCUUGGUUGGCCACACAGACUGUGCCUGUGGGUUCCCACCAGGUCCACCCCUCCUUGGUCUCCGAGCCUCCCUGGGCCAGUGCUGUGAAUCAGGCACCACUGUCCGUAUGUUAACAGAAUCAUUCAGAGUCUUUUUUUACUGUGGUCAAAACCAGGUGACCAUCUUCAUCGUUUCUGACCGUCCAGCAGGGCUGUGUCGUGCAGGGAGCUCCGUGCCCGUCUCGGUCGGCUUCUGAUGAUCAGAUGGCGUGCCACAGCACACGUGUUUCUCCCGGUCCUGGAGGAGGGACCCAGGGCAGGGGGCACCCGCACGCCCCCGGCACUGCUGCCCCCGUCCCUCCGCGGGUCCCAGGUGCUCCAGGAGGCCUGGGGGGCGUUGCCCCGCGAAGGUGGGGCUGAGCGCCCAUGCUCAGUGUGGGGGCGGUGUCUGUCUGCCUCAGAGCAGCGCCAGUCCCCGUCCUUUGCCUGGUUUCCAGCCUGCUCUUGUCUGUCACGGGGGCCGUCAGGCUCCUCACGCAGCCCAGAUGCUCACCCGUCCUGGUCGUGGGCUUCGCACACAUUUCCUCCUGUUGUGGCUUGCCUUUUCCCUCUGAUGCUGGUUUCUUUCGUUUCACAAAGUUCUGAAGUUGAACGUUGCUCAUCCUGUCUCUGCCGCCUGUCCUGAUGGGCGCGAGUGGAGGAGCGGCACCUCCUCUUGGGUCUGGCUCUUCCCUGGGUUCCACCCUCACUGCCGUCUCUCGUGUCUCCGUGAUUUUUUUGUCAUCUGCACCAGGACUGUCUCUGAGUAAUUCUCCUUCCAGAGGAUUUGGCAGCCAAGCCUGGAGUCUCACUGCUCGGGAAGCAUCUCCGUUUUGCCUUCUUCUCAGUGACACUUUGCACUGGCCUGCUGCUGCUGCUACUGAGUCGCUUCACUCGUGUCCGACUCUGUGCGACCCACAGACGGCAGCCCACCAGACUCCCCCGUCCCUGGGAUUCUCCAGCAAGAACACUAGUGUGUGUUGCCAUUUCCUUCUCCAGUGCGUGAAAGUGAAAAGUAAAAGUGAAGUC